AUUAUGUAUCCUGUUGAUAGCUUGCUAUACAAUCACGCAAGCUAAUACUAUUCAAAACCCACUCGGGGGUUAAUAUUCUUAGUGUAUGACCAGCAUCGAUAGUUGGCCUAUUUUUACAAAUAUCUCUAUAAUAAUAAACAUUUAAAAUCCAAUUCACUUGUGUCCAUCAUCAGUCGGUGAACCUGCGACUGACGCUUUCACUCUGCAGCAUAGCAGUGCAGUGCACUCCAGUACAACUAGUCGACCACAGAGAAAAAGAGCUGCAUUUUUAAACUAGGCAGGAGUAUUCAACUGCUGAUAAUUGGAAUUAAUUAACAGAGGCCCACAUAGCAAGCCUUUCUCUCACCAUUUAGGUAGACCCAAAUAAUCCCCCAAUACAUUUGAAAUUGUUUUUCACCCUACGUCAACGUAGCUAAAUAGUUCAUGUAUUAUUAAAAACUGUGAGCUUGUUUGACAAUGAAGGAAAUAACACUUGAUCUUGUGAGUUGAAAAUCCCAUUAAUCCCAUUGUAAAACUUAAUAAUGUGAUCAAUUUGCAACAAAGGCUAGAGAGAUUUGAAAUUUCUAUUUCAAUCUUAAAUAGAUAUGCCACUCAAAGCCACACUAGGAUCACAGACAAAAGCUUUGGUCAGGAAAUAUUUGCUUUUAUUUCAUACAAUUAAAAAACAAACUAUGAAUGAAUGCACACAGACAAAUACCAAGGUUUCAAACCAAGUAUAAACAACUUCAAGUAAGAAAAAAGAUAGUGAUACAAUAAAUAUGUUUUGCUGAAAUAUUACCUUCGAUGUCUGCAAAAUGUAUGCUCUCAAGUAUGGUAGAAUAGUCCCAAUUUAAAUGAGAAUACAAUUCCUAUCAAUCCAGUUUAAAUGUUAUGUUUUAAAAAAAAAAAAAUGUAGGCUUAGAGAAGUACUUUUGUAUUCCCUCGGUUUACCCUAGGAAAUAUUUCCUUGGUUUACCCAUACAAAUGUAUUAAAUCAUAAUGAUAUCAAUUCAAUCAAUAAUACUCAAUGGUGGAGGGACAAUGUAUUUAAGUUUACAUUUCAAUGUUUCAAGACCUUAUUCCACUUUCAAGAAUGAUGCCCAUUUAAUGUUUUUUUGAAUGGCAGUGAAAAAAAAAUGAAAAAAGAGAAAAGAAGAUUCCAUGAUUCCAGCAGGACAAGAAAAUGGUCGUAUUCACACACUUAUCAAGAGAACAUCCCUGGUCAUCUCUACUGCCUCUGAUCUGGGGGACUCGCUAAACACAAAUUCUUAGUUUGUAAAUUAUGUUUGAGUGUUGGAGUGUACCCCUGGAUAUCCAUUAAAAAACAGGAAAUGUGGUUGAUAGGGGUUGGUAGUCCAGGGCAGAAUUCAUAAGGUACAGAGCGGCAGGCUCCGGGUCGGGGGCAGGCAGAGGUCAGUAAUCCAGGGCAGAGGCAAAAGGUACAGAACUGCAGGCAGGCUCAGAUCAAAAACCAGGAAAACUAGAAAACAGGCUCAAGGAAACAGGCGUAAGCCUGCCUGCUGUUCUGAAAAACACGCUGGUAGGCUUGACGGGACAAGACAAACUGGCAACAGACAAACAGAGAACAUAGGUAUAAAUGCACAGGGGAUAAUAGGGGAAGAUGUGCGACACCUGGAGGGGGGUGGAGCCAAGCCAAAAGACAGGUGAAACAGAGCAGGGUGUGACACUUUUACCAGGUGAAGCUGGUUGAGAGAAUGCCAAGAGUGUGCAAAGCUGUCAUCAAGGAAAAGGGUGGCUACUUUGAAGAACCUCAAAUAUAAAACAUUUUUUGCUUUUUUGGUUACUACAUGAUUCCAUAUGUGUUAUUUCAUAGUUGAUGUCUUCACUAUUAUUCUACAAUGUAGAAAAUAGUAAAAACAAAGAUAAACCCUUGAAUGAGUAGGUGUGUGCAAACGUUUGACUGGUACUGUAUAUUUUAGCAAUUACAUUUACUUUUGUAUUUAUAUUUAAAAACCAAAUACUUUUAGACUUUUAGUUAAGUAGUAUUUUAUUGGGUGACUUUCACUUUUAUUUUCGAUUAAGGUAUCUUUACUUUUAUUCAACUAUGACAAUUGAGUACUUUUUCCACCACUGUGUGUGUGUGUAGUUGCAUUCCUGCCAUUCUUUUAAUGCAUAAAUAUUUCAUAAACUUGUAGUAACUUGGGUCAAGUACCAUAAAUGUUUUGUGUUUUUGUAUUAAUGUGUAAUAUUGUUAAUAUUAUAAUAAUAAUUGGGAUAAUCAACAUAAUUAAAUGGUGUAUCAAUGUGUGUAUGUUUCCGUUGGCUCUCUGUUUUGAAAACAAAAAAUGAACAAACAGUGAAUUCCAGUCAAUUUUUUUAACACUAUGUACCUUAAAAUAAAUACAAUAUAUACAACAAUAUUUUUUUUAAGUAACGAUAAAUACAGCAAGCUAUCGUUUUAAAGCCCUUUUUCCGAAAUGUACUGUUUUCUAAGGCAAGAAAUAGCUGUUUUAUUAGUGUUUGUUUGUUUGUGAAAUGGUUGUUGUUCCUGGAUGGUACAUUUAAUUGAGUUUGUAAUGGAUUUUGUAACAUGUUAAAAAUGAUUACAUGUUCUUGAACAAUCAA
This is a long non-coding RNA of Oncorhynchus nerka (sockeye salmon), 2565 nucleotides long. RefSeq lists it as uncharacterized. The record is from RefSeq and is a predicted model, not a curated record. The transcript has 2 exons. Lineage: Eukaryota; Metazoa; Chordata; Actinopteri; Salmoniformes; Salmonidae.